GAACAGUUCUAUUUAUGCAGCAAGUAAAUGAUCACAGAGCAAGGGUGAUUUCCAUUUACCUACGUUCUUUCCUGUUCUCAGCUGCCCCAGGUCAGGGUCUCCCUGUACUGACUGAGGGCAUAGAUCUGGCUUAUACCAGAGAGGUGAUGCAUUCCAGACAUCCCACUGCUGACAUCCAGGUGGGAUUACAUGCCUUUGUACAGCCCUGGCCAUAAGGAACUGUUCUGGAGCAAAGCCCUGGAGCACUGCAGUGGAUAGGAAAAAAAAGCCAUUAAACCCUUCUGCCAGCACAGGAUUAGCUAGUGCAAGGUUAAAUCUCACUUCUUAAAAGGCUGGAUUGCUUGGUGAUAAAUGGAACGAUUUCCUGUAUUGUUUGGUAAUUAAUUGUUUGAAUCCUGUUGUAUUAAGGGGAGGGAAAGAGGAAAGAUAAGAGAAGAGGGAUGCCCUGUUCCUUCUGUAUGCACUGAGCUCCAUUCAUUGUGAAAGGAUUUAUAGUUUUCAU
RNAcentral lists this long non-coding RNA (502 nucleotides) under Coturnix japonica (Japanese quail). RNAcentral's name for it is "lncRNA (ENSCJPG00005008128.1)". Lineage: Eukaryota; Metazoa; Chordata; Aves; Galliformes; Phasianidae. The record is from RNAcentral.